RNAcentral lists this ribosomal RNA (274 nucleotides) under uncultured bacterium. Its description in RNAcentral is "partial 16S ribosomal RNA". It matches the Rfam family "Bacterial small subunit ribosomal RNA", at positions 523 to 796 of the family's 1533-position model. The record is from RNAcentral.
AUACGGAGGGGGCUAGCGUUGUUCGGAAUUACUGGGCGUAAAGCGUGCGUAGGCGGCCCAUAAAGUCAGGCGUGAAAGCCCCGGGCUCAACCUGGGAACUGCGCUUGAAACGUGUGGGCUAGAGUCCGGGAGAGGAUGGUGGAAUUCCCAGUGUAGAGGUGAAAUUCGUAGAUAUUGGGAAGAACACCGGUGGCGAAGGCGGCCAUCUGGACCGGUACUGACGCUAAGGCGCGAAAGCGUGGGGAGCAAACAGGAUUAGAAACCCCUGUAGUCC